Molecule: small nucleolar RNA, 158 nt
Organism: Nothobranchius furzeri (turquoise killifish)
Lineage: Eukaryota; Metazoa; Chordata; Actinopteri; Cyprinodontiformes; Nothobranchiidae
Gene: SNORD97
Product: small nucleolar RNA, C/D box 97
Source: Ensembl
AUGCCCGGUGAUUAUAAAAAGACGCGUUAUUCUGAGGAACAAAACCUGCUAUUAGUGCUUCUCUCCUCUCUCCUCUUCCAUUUCUUCUCCUUUACCCCUCCUCUUCCUUCCUAACUAGUAGCAGGUCCAAUGAUUGCGAUUAUGAGAUAUGAGGGCGU